UUCGGCGGCCAUAGCGAGAGGGAAACGCCCGGUCACAUUCCGAACCCGGAAGCUAAGACUCUUUGCGCCGAUGGUACUGCAGGGGGGACCCUGUGGGAGAGUAGGACACCGCCGGAC
RNAcentral lists this ribosomal RNA (117 nucleotides) under Plantibacter flavus. RNAcentral also lists the same sequence under 20 other names. Lineage: Bacteria; Bacillati; Actinomycetota; Actinomycetes; Micrococcales; Microbacteriaceae. The record is from RNAcentral.